CCUACGGGAGACAGCAGUGAGGAAUCUUGGUCAAUGGGCGCUAGCCUGAACCAGCCAAGCCGCGUGAAGGAUGACUACUCUAUGCGCUGUAAACUUCUUUUGUAUGGGAAUAAAGUGCAGUUUGUAACUUGCUUUUCAUGUACCUUAUUAAUAUGGAUCGUCUAACUCCGCGCCAGCAGCCGCGGUACUAUGGUGGGUACGAGCGUUGCGCGGAUUGAUUGGGUUUAAAGGGAACGUAGGCGGGUUGUUACGUCAGUUGUGAAAGUCUGCGGCUCAACAGUAAAAUUGCAUCUGAUACUGGUAACCUUGAGUACAGAAGAGGUGGGCGGAAGUCGUGGUGUAGCGGUGAAAUGCUUAGAUAUCUCGAAGAACUCCGAUUGCGAAGGCAGCCUGCUGGACUGUAACUGACGCUGAUGCUCGAAAGUAUGGGUAUCGAACAGGAUUAGAUACCCGAGUAGUC
Molecule: ribosomal RNA, 460 nt
Filed under: uncultured bacterium
Lineage: Bacteria
Description: partial 16S ribosomal RNA
Rfam family: Bacterial small subunit ribosomal RNA
Source: RNAcentral